Molecule: ribosomal RNA, 445 nt
Filed under: uncultured Flavobacteriales bacterium
Lineage: Bacteria; Pseudomonadati; Bacteroidota; Flavobacteriia; Flavobacteriales
Description: bacterial SSU rRNA
Rfam family: Bacterial small subunit ribosomal RNA
Source: RNAcentral
GUGAGGAAUAUUGCGCAAUGGAGGCAACUCUGACGCAGCCAUGCCGCGUGCAGGAAGAAGGCGCUACGCGUUGUAAACUGCUUUUAACCGGGAAGAAACCCCCUUACGUGUAAGGGGUUGACGGUACCGGCGGAAUAAGCACCGGCUAACUUCGUGCCAGCAGCCGCGGUAAUACGAAGGGUGCAAGCGUUAUCCGGAUUCAUUGGGUUUAAAGGGUGCGUAGGCGGAGCGUUAAGUCAGUGGUGAAAUCCUGCAGCUCAACUGUAGAAUUGCCAUUGAUACUGGCGCUCUUGAGUGCGCUUGAAGUAGGCGGAAUGUGCCGUGUAGCGGUGAAAUGCUUAGAUAUGGCACAGAACACCAAUUGCGAAGGCAGCUUACUAAGGCGAUACUGACGCUGAGGCACGAAAGCGUGGGGAUCGAACAGGAUUAGAAACCCCGGUAGUCC